This 765-nucleotide ribosomal RNA is filed under the name Staphylococcus aureus. RNAcentral describes it as "bacterial SSU rRNA". It matches the Rfam family "Bacterial small subunit ribosomal RNA", at positions 28 to 773 of the family's 1533-position model. The record is from RNAcentral. Lineage: Bacteria; Bacillati; Bacillota; Bacilli; Caryophanales; Staphylococcaceae.
UAGUAACGCCCGGCGGCGUGCCUAAUACAUGCAAGUCGAGCGAACGGACGAGAAGCUUGCUUCUCUGAUGUUAGCGGCGGACGGGUGAGUAACACGUGGAUAACCUACCUAUAAGACUGGGAUAACUUCGGGAAACCGGAGCUAAUACCGGAUAAUAUUUUGAACCGCAUGGUUCAAAAGUGAAAGACGGUCUUGCUGUCACUUAUAGAUGGAUCCGCGCUGCAUUAGCUAGUUGGUAAGGUAACGGCUUACCAAGGCAACGAUGCAUAGCCGACCUGAGAGGGUGAUCGGCCACACUGGAACUGAGACACGGUCCAGACUCCUACGGGAGGCAGCAGUAGGGAAUCUUCCGCAAUGGGCGAAAGCCUGACGGAGCAACGCCGCGUGAGUGAUGAAGGUCUUCGGAUCGUAAAACUCUGUUAUUAGGGAAGAACAUAUGUGUAAGUAACUGUGCACAUCUUGACGGUACCUAAUCAGAAAGCCACGGCUAACUACGUGCCAGCAGCCCGCGGUAAUACGUAGGUGGCAAGCGUUAUCCGGAAUUAUUGGGCGUAAAGCGCGCGUAGGCGGUUUUUUAAGUCUGAUGUGAAAGCCCACGGCUCAACCGUGGAGGGUCAUUGGAAACUGGAAAACUUGAGUGCAGAAGAGGAAAGUGGAAUUCCAUGUGUAGCGGUGAAAUGCGCAGAGAUAUGGAGGAACACCAGUGGCGAAGGCGACUUUCUGGUACUGUACCUGACGCUGAUGUGCGAAAGCGGGGGUGCAAAC